GAGAUUCCGGUAGUAGCGGCGAGCGAACCUGGAUUAGCCCUUAAGCACUCGGUGAAGUAGGUGAACAAGCUGGAAAGCUUGGCGAUACAGGGUGAUAGCCCCGUAACCGACGCUUCAUCGAGCGUGAAAUCGAGUAGGGCGGGACACGUGAUAUCCUGUCUGAAUAUGGGGGGACCAUCCUCCAAGGCUAAAUACUCCUGACUGACCGAUAGUGAACCAGUACCGUGAGGGAAAGGCGAAAAGAACCCCUGUGAGGGGAGUGAAAUAGAACCUGAAACCGUGUACGUACAAGCAGUAGGAGCACCUUCGUGGUGUGACUGCGUACCUUUUGUAUAAUGGGUCAGCGACUUAUAUUCAGUGGCAAGGUUAACCGUAUAGGGGAGCCGUAGCGAAAGCGAGUCUUAACUGGGCGCUCAGUCUCUGGAUAUAGACCCGAAACCGGGUGAUCUAGCCAUGGGCAGGUUGAAGGUUGAGUAACAUCAACUGGAGGACCGAACCGACUAAUGUUGAAAAAUUAGCGGAUGACUUGUGGCUAGGGGUGAAAGGCCAAUCAAACUCGGAGAUAGCUGGUUCUCCCCGAAAGCUAUUUAGGUAGCGCCUCGGACGAAUACUACUGGGGGUAGAGCACUGUUAAGGCUAGGGGGUCAUCCCGACUUACCAACCCUUUGCAAACUCCGAAUACCAGUAAGUACUAUCCGGGAGACACACGGCGGGUGCUAACGUCCGUCGUGGAGAGGGAAACAACCCAGACCGCCAGCUAAGGUCCCAAAGUAUUGCUAAGUGGGAAACGAUGUGGGAAGGCUCAGACAGCUAGGAUGUUGGCUUAGAAGCAGCCAUCAUUUAAAGAAAGCGUAAUAGCUCACUAGUCGAGUCGGCCUGCGCGGAAGAUGUAACGGGGCUAAGCAAUACACCGAAGCUGCGGCAAUGUCUUUUAGAUAUUGGGUAGGGGAGCGUUCUGUAAGCCGUUGAAGGUGAAUCGUAAGGUUUGCUGGAGGUAUCAGAAGUGCGAAUGCUGACAUGAGUAACGACAAAGGGGGUGAAAAACCUCCUCGCCGGAAGACCAAGGGUUCCUGUCCAACGUUAAUCGGGGCAGGGUGAGUCGACCCCUAAGGUGAGGCCGAAAGGCGUAAUCGAUGGGAAACGGGUUAAUAUUCCCGUACUUCUGACUAUUGCGAUGGGGGGACGGAGAAGGCUAGGUGGGCCAGGCGACGGUUGUCCUGGUUCAAGUGCGUAGGCUUGAGAGUUAGGUAAAUCCGGCUCUCUCUAAGGCUGAGACACGACGUCGAGCUGCUACGGCAGUGAAGUCAUUGAUGCCAUGCUUCCAGGAAAAGCCUCUAAGCUUCAGAUAGUUAGGAAUCGUACCCCAAACCGACACAGGUGGUCGGGUAGAGAAUACCAAGGCGCUUGAGAGAACUCGGGUGAAGGAACUAGGCAAAAUGGUACCGUAACUUCGGGAGAAGGUACGCUCUUGAUGGUGAAGUCCCUCGCGGAUGGAGCUGACGAGAGUCGCAGAUACCAGGUGGCUGCAACUGUUUAUUAAAAACACAGCACUGUGCAAAAUCGCAAGAUGACGUAUACGGUGUGACGCCUGCCCGGUGCCGGAAGGUUAAUUGAUGGGGUUAGCGCAAGCGAAGCUCUUGAUCGAAGCCCCGGUAAACGGCGGCCGUAACUAUAACGGUCCUAAGGUAGCGAAAUUCCUUGUCGGGUAAGUUCCGACCUGCACGAAUGGCGUAAUGAUGGCCACGCUGUCUCCACCCGAGACUCAGUGAAAUUGAAAUCGCUGUGAAGAUGCAGUGUACCCGCGGCUAGACGGAAAGACCCCGUGAACCUUUACUACAGCUUGGCACUGAACAUUGAACCUACAUGUGUAGGAUAGGUGGGAGGCUAUGAAGACGUGACGCUAGUCGCGUUGGAGCCGUCCUUGAAAUACCACCCUUGUAUGUUUGAUGUUCUAACUUAGACCCAUUAUCUGGGUUGAGGACAGUGCCUGGUGGGUAGUUUGACUGGGGCGGUCUCCUCCCAAAGAGUAACGGAGGAGCACGAAGGUGGGCUAAUCACGGUUGGACAUCGUGAGGUUAGUGCAAUGGCAUAAGCCCGCUUAACUGCGAGAAUGACGGUUCGAGCAGGUGCGAAAGCAGGUCAUAGUGAUCCGGUGGUUCUGUAUGGAAGGGCCAUCGCUCAACGGAUAAAAGGUACUCCGGGGAUAACAGGCUGAUACCGCCCAAGAGUUCAUAUCGACGGCGGUGUUUGGCACCUCGAUGUCGGCUCAUCACAUCCUGGGGCUGAAGUCGGUCCCAAGGGUAUGGCUGUUCGCCAUUUAAAGUGGUACGCGAGCUGGGUUUAGAACGUCGUGAGACAGUUCGGUCCCUAUCUGCCGUGGGCGUUGGAAGAUUGAAGGGGGCUGCUCCUAGUACGAGAGGACCGGAGUGGACGAACCUCUGGUGUUCGGGUUGUGUCGCCAGACGCAUUGCCCGGUAGCUAAGUUCGGAAUUGAUAAGCGCUGAAAGCAUCUAAGCGCGAAGCGAGCCCUGAGAUGAGUCUUCCCUGAUACUUUAAGUAUCCUAAAGGGUUGUUCGAGACUAGAACGUUGAUAGGCAGGGUGUGUAAGCGUUGUGAGGCGUUGAGCUAACCUGUACUAAUUGCCCGUGAGGCUUAACCA
RNAcentral lists this ribosomal RNA (2659 nucleotides) under Vibrio cholerae. RNAcentral's name for it is "partial 23S ribosomal RNA". It matches the Rfam family "Bacterial large subunit ribosomal RNA". Lineage: Bacteria; Pseudomonadati; Pseudomonadota; Gammaproteobacteria; Vibrionales; Vibrionaceae. The record is from RNAcentral.